RNAcentral lists this ribosomal RNA (405 nucleotides) under bacterium. RNAcentral describes it as "partial 16S ribosomal RNA". It matches the Rfam family "Bacterial small subunit ribosomal RNA", at positions 355 to 776 of the family's 1533-position model. The record is from RNAcentral.
UGGGGAAUCUUGCCCAAUGGGCGAAAGCCUGAGGCAGCAACGCCGCGUGUGGGAUGAAGGCCCUUGGGUUGUAAACCACUUUCAGCAGGGACGAAGAUGACGGUACCUGCAGAAGAAGCCCCGGCCAACUACGUGCCAGCAGCCGCGGUAAGACGUAGGGGGCAAGCGUUGUCCGGAUUUAUUGGGCGUAAAGAGCUCGUAGGCGGCUCAGAAAGUCGGGUGUGAAACCUCCAGGCUCAACCUGGAGACGCCACCUGAUACUGCUGUGGCUAGAGUCCGGUAGGGGAGCACGGAAUUCCCGGUGUAGCGGUGAAAUGCUUAGAUAUCGGGAGGAACACCAGUGGCGAAGGCGGUGCUCUGGGCCGGAACUGACGCUGAGGAGCGAAAGCGUGGGUAGCAAACAGG